UUCAGAAUUCUUUCUCUCUCUCUUCCUUCAGUUUUCUCUCUCCUCUUGUGAAUCCUGUGCGGCUCUGCUAAUGCGUCUUCAUCUUCUCCAAGUUCCUCAAUUCUCCUGCAUAUCUCUUUACCUUCUUUGCGAUCUUCUUUCAAUUCUCCAGGAGCUGAAUUUGGUACUGUGAAGGUGGUGGAGACUGCACUUGCUUUGCAAGAAGCUGGGUCUUUUGCUUUUGUUUUGGAAUGUGUUCCUGCACCAGUGGCAGCAGCAACAACUUUUGUUUUAGGAAUUCCUACAAUCGGUAUUGGAGCUGGACCUUUCUGUAGUGGUCAGGCAAUUGAUUCAUCUGUCAGAAUUCUGAAAGAGGGAGGAAUGGAUGCGAUAAAAUUGGAGGGAGCAUCACCUUCGAGAAUUACAGCAGCGAAAGCUAUUGUUGAAGCUAGAAUUGCAGUGACUCCACAAGCCAUUAGUAUUCUUGGAGGGUUUAGUAGGCCUCAGGGGAGAAACAUCUCCACUGCUGUUAAGGUGAAGUACUGGUUUUGUAUCUGUGGAAUUUCAUGGGUAUGUUCUGCCUUGCUCUGGACACGUUUGGGAUCAACAACUAAAGCUUCACGACAGCUAUAGACAUGACUAACUUAACACGCAGUAACCAAAAAAAUAUAACAGCAUAGCCAAAAUGCAGAAAAGCUAUGACAAAAUUCAGUGGUACAGUAGUAGACAUGCAAACCUGCAAACAGAUAUCCUGUGCCAAAGGACUGCCCUCUUCAACUUCAGGGAUCCCAGCUUUCUUCUCCUUCAAACUUUUUCUGUCAUUGCUAGCUCCAUUACCUAAUCCAACUACCUAUGCUUCCAUAUUGUUUGUUGGUGAAUCUGCAAACCUGUCCUCCGAAGAAGCUUGUGAUUUUUCUCGAUAGUUUCCAUUGACAUACUCCCCAUUAUGGUUCACAUAUUCUUGAGCAGGUCUGACUUCAAUUCUAUUCACUCUGCUGUCCUUCAUGCUGAGAAAAUGGGAUUGUCCGGUGUUUUUCCAGCAGUCUCCAUUGACUUGGUUAUCCCUGAAUCCCUGAUGCAUCUUCCAGAAUUAGCAGCAGGGGAUGGCUGAGUUUGCUUCCCUUUUGAGUCACCUAGAUGCCUCUCGUAUAAAAAAUGAGCAAAUUUUUGAAUGUUAAUGAGAUUUUAAAAUAUUUGCUCAUUUAGACACAAUGAGCAAAAGUUUUGAAUAUUAACAAACCCGAACUUUAAAAUUUUAAAAAUGAGGAAAUUAUUUGCUCAUCUGUGUAAACUAUAAAAAAAUGAGCAAAAUUAUUUGCUUAUUUGUGUAAACAAUAAAAAAUGAGCAAUUUUUUUGAAUGUUAAGUUUAUGAGAUUUUAAAAUAUUUGCUCAUUUGGAAACAAUGAGCAAAAGUUUUGAGUAUUAACAAACCCGAACUUUAAAAUUUUAUAAAUGAGCAAAAAUAUUUUCUCAUUUGUGUAAACUAUAAAAAAUGAGCAAAAAUAUUUGAUCAUUUGUGUAAAUUAAUAAAAAAUGAGCAAAUUUUUUGAAUUUUAAGUAAUCUGAGAUUUUAAAAUAUUUGCUCAUUUAGACAUAAUGAGCAAAAGUUUUGAAUAUUAACAAACACGAACCUUAAAAUUUUAAAAAUGAGCAAAAAUAUUUGCUCAUUUUUAAUAUUAACCCAAAAGUAAAGAUUAGCCUACGUGGGAUUCGAACCCACAUCUUUUGUGCAUUUGCACAAUGCUCUACCUAUUGAGCUAGUAGGCUGGUGUUUUUAGAUAGAAUCAACAAAAGUAAAGCAAAAACCAAAAGAAAAAGUAUGAGCCCGUUGCAAGGCAGUAUGAUGUUUCAACAUGACGGUUGAGACCUUCCCCCUUUCCCCAAGGUGGCUGAGUUAGUUGUUCCCAAAGCAGCCAUGUGCUCUGAGAAGUAUAACCAAACUGUGAAAGUUGGUGCUGAGAGGGGUUUCAGAGUUACCAAUUACAUGACCCUCGUGCCUGUUAAGGUCUUUGAAGAUCAAGGCGGUCAGACACAUACUAUUGCUGCUGAGGUAAAUGGUGCUGAUGUGCCUGUUGCUGCUGCAUACUGAGCUCGUAUCAAUAUGUCUAAACUCUCAAACGAAAAUAUAAAAAAUAAAGAUUAAUGAACAAGCUCCAAUUCCCUGAAAGAUCUAACAAGGAUAAUUCGCUUAGGAGCAAUGCUACCAUUCAGUUUGUUAUUUGAAAGAUUCACUCUUGUCAGAUUAGACAGGCUUUUCAGUUCAUCAGGGAUUUACCUCCAAGGGAGUUGUUGUACAGCAUAAACUGUUGCAGAGACUUCAGAUUGCCCAAUGUCGCCGGAAUUCCACCCGAAAGGUGAUUAUGAGCCAAGUCAAGAAUCAACAGUUGUUGACGUUCCCCAAAGUGAGUGGUUCCUCCACUAAGAACAAUGUGGUUCCUCCACUAAAGAACAAUGUUUCCAUACAGAUCUUUCUUGAUAUCAAUAUCACACUUCGUGAUAGAGUUGUAAGUGGUUUCGUGAAUACCAGCAGCUUCCAUACCAAUCAUUAAUGGCUGGAAGAGGACUUCAGGACAUCGGAAACGCUCACCACAAAUGCUAAUAAUUAACCUAACACAGAAACUACUUAGAUCUUGGUCUGCUGCAAGCUAAUAAAACUUAACCAGUUUCAAACUUGGUUAGUUUCUAUGUAUUCACCCUUGAGUUUACAAAAUUGAUUCUCGUAUUCAAGGGAGUUGCUGCUACAGACACCAUUCUCUUAUGCCGUUGAAAGAAAAUAACUGGAUCAUGCAACCAUGUUCCAACUUCAAAGUGAUCAAGAGUUUAAGUAGUCACGUUGUCUGUCACACCGAAUUAGGAGCCUGUAACAAAGGUGCCAAUACAUCCGAAUCCAUUUGAGAACUAGGGGCAGCAUGGAGAUCAACAUGCACUUUAUGAACCAUCUCUGCUAGCAUUGUGUUCCAUUCCUUAAGAAUUAAUAAUCACCAAUUGUCUUUCUUUGCUCAUUUCCAAUCAUCUUCAUCAACACAUUAUUGAUU
This is a long non-coding RNA of Spinacia oleracea (spinach), 3015 nucleotides long. RefSeq lists it as uncharacterized. The record is from RefSeq and is a predicted model, not a curated record. The transcript is spliced from 4 exons. Lineage: Eukaryota; Viridiplantae; Streptophyta; Magnoliopsida; Caryophyllales; Amaranthaceae.